Molecule: ribosomal RNA, 254 nt
Filed under: uncultured bacterium
Lineage: Bacteria
Description: partial 16S ribosomal RNA
Rfam family: Bacterial small subunit ribosomal RNA
Source: RNAcentral
UACGGAGGGUGCAAGCGUUUAUCCGGAUUUACUGGGUUUAAAGGGUGCGUAGGUGGGUCUGUAAGUCAGUGGUGAAAUCUCCGAGCUUAACUCGGAAACUGCCAUUGAUACUAUAGGUCUUGAAUUAUCUGGAGGUAAGCGGAAUAUGUCAUGUAGCGGUGAAAUGCUUAGAUAUGACAUAGAACACCAAUUGCGAAGGCAGCUUACUACGGAUUGAUUGACACUGAGGCACGAAAGCGUGGGGAUCAAACAGG